GAGGCUUCGACAAUGCCCGAAAGGGUGAUCGAGCGACGCCGCGUGUGGGAUGACGGUCUUCGGAUUGUAAACCACUUUUGUUUGGGAAGAAGGCCUGUAUCGUGAAUAUGGGAUUGACGGUACCAAACGAAUAAGCCCCGGCUAACUCCGUGCCAGCCGCCGCGGUAAGACGGAGGGGGCAAGCGUUGUUCGGAAUCAUUGGGCGUAAAGGGCUCGUAGGCGGACUAGCAAGUCUGGCGUGAAAUCUCCACCGCUCACCGGGGAGAGGUCGCUGGAUACUACUAAUCUUGAGUUCGGUAGAGGGUCGUGGAACUUCGGGUGUAGCGGUGGAAUGCGUAGAUAUCCGAAAGAACACCGGUGGCGAAGGCGGCGACCUGGGCCUGAAUUGACGCUGAGGAGCGAAAGCCAGGGGAGCAAACGGG
Molecule: ribosomal RNA, 422 nt
Filed under: uncultured bacterium
Lineage: Bacteria
Description: bacterial SSU rRNA
Rfam family: Bacterial small subunit ribosomal RNA
Source: RNAcentral